RNAcentral lists this long non-coding RNA (1582 nucleotides) under Lupinus angustifolius (narrow-leaved blue lupine). Its description in RNAcentral is "long non-coding RNA (LANG_LNC001994)". The record is from RNAcentral. Lineage: Eukaryota; Viridiplantae; Streptophyta; Magnoliopsida; Fabales; Fabaceae.
AGCAAAAUAACAAGGAGAACUAAAAAAGGGUGGCACAGUGCACGAGGCUCCCACUUAGUGGGCUUGGUGGAGGGUAUAUGUAUGCAGCCUUACCCCCGAAAACAGAGAGGUUGUUUUCAAGAUUUGAACCCAUGACUUCAUGGUCACUAAGAAACAACCUUACCAUUGCACCAAGCUCACCCGAACAAAUUACAAGCAAAAUUUCAUGUGGGAAAAACAUAAGAUGACAUUAAACAAUUAGAUUAUUAACCAUAAUAUUUCAAGCAUCAAGUCUCUUGGAGAAGUUUCAUCUUAUAUAUGCCUAACUUUCAGCACGGGCAAUAAAUAUAUUAUUUUAGUAAAAUACUAGUAUGACUGUAUGAAACAACUUUAAGAGAAUAAAUGACAAGCCCUCGCCAACACUUGACACUGUUGCAAAUCUUAGCAUCAUAUGGCGACUCUCACCCUCAAAUUUGACAUUAUUACAAGGAAUGGUGAAUUUAAGAGUUUCAGUUAUGAUGAGCUCGUGGUGAUAAAUAUAUUCACAUAAUUUAUGAUAUCCUUAAAAUAGAAGACAAAUAUCAAAUGAAAGGAUUAUAAUCAUCAUAAAUGAAAUCCCUUCAUAUAAUAACUAUUGAAUAUAUGUAAUAUCUAGUGUAUGUAGACUUGGGUGCUGUCUUUGUGAGUUUGUGUACAGCAGAUACAAUGUAGAGUCAUUAACUGCUGAGUAGAGUGCCAAUGAUGAUUCCAAUCAGUAGGUGAAGAGGUCUGAUGAGGAUUCCUCUCCUGGGAGAAGAGUGCCAAUGAUGAUUCCAAUCAGUAGGUGAAGAGGCCCGAUGAGGAUUCCUCUCGAUGGGAGAAGAGUUUCGAUGAUGAUUCCAAUCAGUGGGUGAAGAGCUACAAUGAUGAGGAUUAGGAGAAGAGUUCUGAUGAUGAGGACUCCAAUCAUUUGUAGUAGAGAAUUGAUGAGGGUUCCGAUUAGAGGUGUUGAAGAAGAGAAUUGAUGAGAGUUCCGAUUAGAGGUGCCAGCGUUAGAAGCAUGAACACUAGCACCGACGGGUUUUUGCAGUGGAUUAUAUGGUGUGGAAGCCAUAGAAAUGCUCUUUUAAACUCUGAUUACCAUAAUAUGAAGUGUAGAAUGGGAGAAAGUUGAGACAAAAGAAGAGAGAGAAUUGGGGAGUGAUUCUCAAUGAUUGAAUGAAACUAUUACAUUCGGCGGUUUAUAUAAGAAACUAAGUAACAGCUUCUGUCAUCUUCUCAAUGUAUACUGAAUCAGUGAAUCCUAACUAAUGGCUGAGUCAGAACUACUCAGAAGACAAUAGCUCUACAGUGUAUCUGGUGUACACAAAACUAAUUAAGACAGCACCCAAGUCUACAUAUAUUCCAAUGAAGACUAACAGUAUGACCUGUACACCUCGAUGGAGAUUUAGCAUAAUUUAAUUGAAAAACAGUUUGAAUCAUACAGCUUAAUUUCCAUGAGAAAGGUAGAUUUUUUUCAUCAUAAUAUUCCAGGAAAAUAUCUUUAUUAUACGGAAGUCAUAUGAUCAUAUUAACAUUACCUUUGACGAAUUUUCUCAAGCUCCCUCGGAUCAUUGACUAAUAC